AUAUUAGAGAUUAAAGUAAAACAAAAAUAAAUUAGAAAAGAUAGAAAAAAAUAAAAUUCGAUGAAAGAAAAAAAAGAAAAAAAAAAGAGAAUAAAGAAAAACGUCUGUUGAUUCGGACAUGUAGGAAUAAGGGUUAGAUAUCUUAGAGUUAGUUUCAAGUUUCGAUCAAAUUAGACGCAAUGCGUCGAGAUGGCUUGCCAGGAGGGCCGCAAUAUUACUCUAUUACAUUGAAAAGCAAGCGCGAAAUCGUUCCACCACUCUUACUGGCAAUCUCUUCGAUUUAAAAUGGUUCACAUCAUUCACAUCGUUCUUUAAGAAACAUUAUUUUUACGAUUAUAGCCAUUAAUCGAUUUCCUUAAAAUGACGCAUACAUAUUUGCAUUUUAUCAUAGAAUAUCGUGAUUUGUAUUAUGCCAAAAAAUCAAAAAUGUCUCUAAACAUGAUCAAUUGUUAUCAUAUUCAAAUGCUUUAAAUCGUCAUAUUCAUUUAUAGAAAAAUGUUUUAAUAAUAAUGAAAAAAUAUUGAAUUCGUCAACUCGAAAAUAAAUGUAAGGUGAAUUGCCUCUAGAAACCUAUCAUUUUGAUUCAUAUUUAUCUUAUCGGAUAAUUUGUAUUUUCGCAAGAAACGAGGAAAUUCUAUAUUCGUCCUGGCAAAGAGAGACUAUCGGUUUCGUAUUUGAAUGAAAGCACAAGUAUCGUUGUUACCAACUUCUAUUCGUGUCAAACAAUAUAAAGUAGAUUAUGUACAAACCAACGGACCUCUCGGUCUCUGUCUUUCUUUCUAUCUAUGCAUUUACUCUUCCAUUAUAUCUCAUCAUUGCCUAUUCUUUUCUCUUCUCUCGCUGUCCUUUACAAUUGCGUAAGCAUAAUAAGUAUUUACUUCCAUACAUGCAUCAAUAUAUGCCAAUUGUUUCACUAUAUAGGAUUGACCGAAAAUACACGAAUUGAAUUCGCUAUAAAUUAUAUAAUAUAUUGGCUAUAAAUUAUAGCAAUAUGCAACGAAAUUUUUUUUUCACAUCACAUAUUACGAAUAAUCCAAAUGACAUUUCGAUCACGUAAGAUGGAAUGCUACAAAAGAAAUUGGACGAUAGCGAAAAACGGAAAUGCGAGAUUACGUUUAUCGACGUAUCUCCGUGAGUUAUCGUUCUUUCUCGUUUUUUCAAACGAGUUUAAAUUCCGAAUUAUCGUCCCGAUAAGCAAUUUGUUCGAUAAUCAAAAAAAAAAAAAAAAAAAAAAAAAAAAACAAAAGACAGGAAUCGUUUAACUAGCAACCAACCAUUGUACAACAAUGGUCCCACGUUGCAAAACAUUCUCAACAGACGCGUUACGUUUUACGUAAUAAUACCGUUAAAAGUUUUGUCUCGUUUCAGGUAAAUUGGAUCGGUCGCGGGUGAACUGAAUAAAAUCGACCAAACAACUCGAAUAGACAUUUGCCCUCAUUGUAUCGAACCUCGAUCUAGGAGAAUACGCUAACAGAAGGAGACUGUAAGAAAGCGAAGUCAACUGUGCUCGCGACGCGAUAUCGAAUAAAACAUCGAAUGUUUGCUAGAUACCAAUUUUUGUACAAUCCCAUUAUCGCAUAUUCGUCUCGAAAAAGGAAAAUGAAAACUGUUUCAAUGAAAGAUCAUCGAUACAAGCUUUCGAAUUUUCGCGAGACGUCUCGUUCUCGUAUCGUGCACGAUCUUUUGCUCGAUACGAUCGUUCGAACUCUUUGCCUCCUGUUUUAUUUGCCAGUUUUCCGGAAUAGCGCCACGAAUAGCGUCACGUUUGUCGUAACCUCGAUAUGUUGUCGGGGCAGAGUAACAGAGUGUCGUUGAGCACAUGGCGCCGUCCGAUUUUCAAACGAUUUAUUUCACUCGUUAACUCGAGUUGUAUAUCGUAUAUUGAAUUGAUCCUUCAAUCGAAAAAAAGAUUAAGGAAGAACGAAAGAAG
Molecule: long non-coding RNA, 1930 nt
Organism: Apis dorsata (giant honeybee)
Lineage: Eukaryota; Metazoa; Arthropoda; Insecta; Hymenoptera; Apidae
Exons: 2
Source: RefSeq, a predicted model, not a curated record